GUGAGUUUUCUAAGAGUGUCUCACAUCUAAAACUUCUUCUCCUACUUUUUAUCUUUGGAAGAGUCUAAAUCAAGAAGAAGAAGGUAUCUGAUCGACCAUCGAAGAAGGAUCAGCACAGUACUAGCAUAUUGUGCUGAUUUCCUGGACCAGGAUUUCUGAUCGUGAUUUGUGGGCUCGUGUGGUCGACUCCUAGAGGCCGGACAUAUGUGCGGCUUAC
RNAcentral lists this long non-coding RNA (217 nucleotides) under Elaeis guineensis (African oil palm). RNAcentral's name for it is "long non-coding RNA (EGUI_LNC057249)". Lineage: Eukaryota; Viridiplantae; Streptophyta; Magnoliopsida; Arecales; Arecaceae. The record is from RNAcentral.